AGAGUUUGAUCCUGGCUCAGGAUGAACGCUAGCUACAGGCUUAACACAUGCAAGUCGAGGGGAAACGACAUCGAAAGCUUGCUUUUGAUGGGCGUCGACCGGCGCACGGGUGAGUAACGCGUAUCCAACCUGCCCAUCACUUGGGGAUAACCUUGCGAAAGUAAGACUAAUACCCAAUGAUAUCUCUAGAAGGCAUCUGAAAGAGAUUAAAGAUUUAUCGGUGAUGGAUGGGGAUGCGUCUGAUUAGCUUGGUUGGCGGGGUAACGGCCACCAAAGCAACGAUCAGUAGGGGUUCUGAGAGGAACGGUCCCCCANAUUGGAACUGAGACACGGUCCAAACUCCGUACGGGAGCA
RNAcentral lists this ribosomal RNA (354 nucleotides) under uncultured bacterium. RNAcentral's name for it is "bacterial SSU rRNA". It matches the Rfam family "Bacterial small subunit ribosomal RNA", at positions 8 to 349 of the family's 1533-position model. The record is from RNAcentral.